AGUCUAAGAUUUUGAAUGGAUGCA
Molecule: non-coding RNA, 24 nt
Filed under: Arabidopsis thaliana (thale cress)
Lineage: Eukaryota; Viridiplantae; Streptophyta; Magnoliopsida; Brassicales; Brassicaceae
Source: RNAcentral